GACGAACGCUGGCGGCGUGCUUAACACAUGCAAGUCGAGCGGAAAGGCCACUUCGGUGGUACUCGAGCGGCGAACGGGUGAGUAACACGUGAGUAAUCUGCCCUUGGCUUUGGGAUAGCCACCGGAAACGGUGAUUAAUACCGGAUACGACCACUCCAGGCAUCUGGUGGUGGUGGAAAGUUUUUCGGCCAGGGAUGUGCUCGCGGCCUAUCAGCUUGAUGGUGAGGUAAUGGCUCACCAUGGCUUCGACGGGUAGCCGGCCUGGGAGGGUGACCGGUCACACUGGGACUGAGACACGGCCCAGACUCCUACGGGAGGCAGCAGUGGGGAAUAUUGGACAAUGGGCGGAAGCCUGAUCCAGCAACGCCGCGUGAGGGAUGACGGCCUUCGGGUUGUAAACCUCUUUCGGUAGGGACGAAGCGCAAGUGACGGUACCUACUAAAGAAGCACCGGCCAACUACGUG
This 464-nucleotide ribosomal RNA is filed under the name uncultured bacterium. Its description in RNAcentral is "partial 16S ribosomal RNA". It matches the Rfam family "Bacterial small subunit ribosomal RNA", at positions 28 to 507 of the family's 1533-position model. The record is from RNAcentral.